Molecule: ribosomal RNA, 425 nt
Filed under: uncultured bacterium
Lineage: Bacteria
Description: bacterial SSU rRNA
Rfam family: Bacterial small subunit ribosomal RNA
Source: RNAcentral
GUGAGGAAUAUUGGGCAAUGGGCGAAAGCCUGACCCAGCAACGCCGCGUGGAGGAUGAAUGCCGUAAGGUUGUAAACUCCUGUUAGAGGGGAAGAAUAAUCCCGAUCGACUCGGGACUUGACUGUACCCUCAGAGAAAGCUCCGGCUAACUACGUGCCAGCAGCCGCGGUAAUACGUAGGGAGCAAGCGUUGUCCGGAUUUACUGGGUGUAAAGGGCGCGCAGGCGGGUUGGUAAGUCAGAGGUGAAAUCCUACAGCUUAACUGUAGAACUGCCUUUGAUACUACUGAUCUUGAGUAUGGAAGAGAGAGACGGAAUUCCAGGUGUAGUGGUGAAAUACGUAGAUAUCUGGAAGAACACCAGUUGCGAAGGCGGUCUCUUGGUCCAAUACUGACGCUGAGGCGCGAAAGCGUGGGUAGCAAACAGG